Nothobranchius furzeri (turquoise killifish) is the source of this 870-nucleotide non-coding RNA. Lineage: Eukaryota; Metazoa; Chordata; Actinopteri; Cyprinodontiformes; Nothobranchiidae. The record is from RefSeq and is a predicted model, not a curated record.
UGAUUCAUAUCAUUAUAAUAAAGUGCACAGGUACAAGAAUCCAAAGUAUUUUAUGUAAGAAUUACUAUUCCACGACCGAAGUUGCUGCGCAUGCGCCUCAGCAGCCGAUGAGCUCGUGAACGCGGAGUGUUCGGUGAACACCGGCCGUGAUGUUGUGACGACCAGCUGGAGGCUGUCCUGUCCUGUGGGACCGGGCGAAGGACCGAGGAGCUGGUAAGAGGUCUGCUUGUGUCACCGAGGAUCCGGUAAGGCGGAGCCGUGCUCCCGAGUCCCGGUACCGUCCCAGAAUCAAUCAGCAUGCCUUCAACACACCCGAGUAGAAAAGAGCAAAGGAAACUGUACCAGUCUCUGGGUUGGGAGGAGCUCUGGUCCCCUGCUGGGACCUCAGACCUCCACUUUACCACCCACAGAAGAGUGCCUAGACCUUUCCUUGUACUUGAGUUCUCCUAAAAUUGGAUUUUUUUAGGGUCAUUCAUUCCACAGAGUCUCGCUGGAGCAUCUUUAUUCUGCCUCCAUCUAGCGGCGCGACAACAGAAUUACACCAGCCCCUGUCUAAGCCCUUCCUACUCUCUAAAGAGAAGACAGAAGACAUCAUGGAACACCUGAAAUCAGUCAGGUCACCUGGGGAGGGCUUGAGGAGAAGUUUGGUUCCUCAUGGAUUUGAAGUCUGCUCUACAGACGAGUUCCGGAGCUUCAGGAAUCAGAUCGGUUCCAAUCAGUUAUUAAAAAGUCUGGCUGGAGAGACGUCUAGGAAACUCUACAUAGAAGACUUUUUAACAGGAAUCCUUUGACAGAUAAUCUUUGGGAAUGUUUCUGUAGUUUUGACUCUGAAAGCAUCUGAAUGAAUGAAAAGUUACAGUCGUUUUUAAU